GACGAACGCUGGCGGCGUGCCUAAUACAUGCAAGUCGAACGCUUCUUUCCUCCCGAGUGCUUGCACUCAAUUGGAAAGAGGAGUGGCGGACGGGUGAGUAACACGUGGGUAACCUACCCAUCAGAGGGGGAUAACACUUGGAAACAGGUGCUAAUACCGCAUAACAGUUUAUGCCGCAUGGCAUAAGAGUGAAAGGCGCUUUCGGGUGUCGCUGAUGGAUGGACCCGCGGUGCAUUAGCUAGUUGGUGAGGUAACGGCUCACCAAGGCCACGAUGCAUAGCCGUCCUGAGAGGGUGAUCGGCCACACUGGGACUGAGACACGGCCCAGACUCCUACGGGAGGCAGCAGUAGGGAAUCUUCGGCAAUGGACGAAAGUCUGACCGAGCAACGCCGCGUGAGUGAAGAAGGUUUUCGGAUCGUAAAACUCUGUUGCUAGAGAAGAACAAGGACGUUAGUAACUGAACGUCCCCUGACGGUAUCUAACCAGAAAGCCACGGCUAACUACGUG
Molecule: ribosomal RNA, 508 nt
Filed under: uncultured bacterium
Lineage: Bacteria
Description: partial 16S ribosomal RNA
Rfam family: Bacterial small subunit ribosomal RNA
Source: RNAcentral